Salvia miltiorrhiza (redroot sage) is the source of this 1063-nucleotide long non-coding RNA. RefSeq lists it as uncharacterized. NCBI's taxonomy places the organism in Eukaryota, Viridiplantae, Streptophyta, Magnoliopsida, Lamiales, Lamiaceae. The record is from RefSeq and is a predicted model, not a curated record. The transcript has 4 exons.
UACUCAAAAUCCAAAUUUUCUCCCUCACGCAAUAUGUUCUCUCUCCCUCCCUCUCUGCCGUUUCCUUCUCCCAAAUUUCUCCGGCGAACGUCGCCGGUUCUCAUCGCCUCCGGCGCGGCGAGGCUGGCUUCUCUCUUCCCUCCUCCUUUCUUUCUUUUUUCUUUCCCUUAAUUUAAAUUAGUAACUACCUAGGGUUUUUAAAUCUUGUUCAAUCCUGUUCUCCGACGAGUUCUGCCGCGCCGCCGCCGUGCUCCUCGCAUCGCCACUGCUCCAUCUCAGAUCUGGGAAUUUCGUUUCCAACGCUCCACUCACCGCCGUCCAGCAACUCGUCCCGCCUCCCCACCGUCGAUCCACUGCUGCGCCUGGCCUCGCCGUCGCCGUCGAUUGCAGCGCCUCGCCUCGCCGCGCUGCUGCGCCUCUCCUCGCUGCGCCGUGUAUUGCUGCUCCUCGCCUCGCCUCACCUCACCCCCCUCGUCGCUCGACUGCACCUCCGCCUCAUUGUCUACGCUAUCACCAGGAACACCACUUUCGACAGCACCAAACGGAGCAGCUGAUUUGGUUAAGUGGUUUUGGGUGCUACUGCAGAGAAUCCCAGCUUUCAACAUGUGAAAAAAUUGUUUUUGCUACAGGUGCUGCUGCAGGGAUGUUUGUGAAGGUGUUGACGGACGAGCAGAUGGAAGUUCUCCGCAAGCAGAUUGCUGUCUACGCCACCAUUUGUGAGCAGCUCGUUGAGUUGCACAAAUCCCUCACCUCCUAGACCGAUCUUGCUGGCUCCGUUGCUGAAAAAUUACUCAUAUUUUAGUCAUACAACUGCUACCAGCAGCCUAUUACAUUUGCGAAGAAGCUCUUCAGCGAGAACCUUAUCCCUCUUAAAUGUGACCCGCUAUUCUACUUGCUCUGGUCAAGACUAUGGCUCGUCCUCAAAGCGAAGAUCACGUGGACCUGUCAUGAAUUAUGAUGAACAAUAUUUUAUUUGGUUUGAUGUAGAAUGUUUGUAUAAUGGAUACUUUUUCAAUGUAGAAUGAUAAAGAAUAUUUGAAAUUAAUGAAUGACAUUUUUAUUA